UUCUUCUGGAAAUUCUUCUCUCCUUCGGUUUACACGACCUUGUUUAUUCUCCUCCUAGAGGCUUUUGUUGUUGUUGUUGUUGUUCUGAAGCAUUUAAUGGGUCACUAUUCCUAAAUUCUAUCUUUGAUGCUCUUUCUUCUUCUGUGUGCUUUUUUCCAGGGUGGCAGUGUAACAUCACACUUACCAGCGCAGAACUUUGAGUUAGAGAAAUCUUGAAUAUUAGCUCUGCCUCUUCCUGCUUUCUGCUCUCAGGUCACUUAAUACCUCCAGGCUCAAUGUCCUCAGCUGUAAAAAUGAGCCGUCCUCUCUUACCUCCCGGACCGUUGAGAUUUUGAAAUGAGAUAGACAUAAAGCCUUCAUCAUAGGGCUUGGCACAUGGAAGGUGCCAAAUAAACAGUACUUUUGACCAUCUAUUUUUCUACUUCAAAGAAUAUGUUGAUGAUUCCAGAUAUUUAGCUAUAGUUUCUCUAUUGGGCUCCAAAUCUCUCCGUGUAGUAAUCCAUAUCAGUGGUUUCAUUUUUUUUUUUUCAUAUCAGUGGUUUCAAAUGCCAUUUGUGUAAAUCAGUGAUGAGGAUUACAUUGGUAUAAGAAGAACUGAAAAAAAGAAUAAGGACUUCCGUUGAGUUUUAAACUGAAGACCCAUAGGAAAUCUUCAUGGACUGGGGGAUCGCUGGGAGUUUUGGGGGUUGUGGAAGACUGGAAGAGGAACAGACAAGAAAGCAGCCAGACGGUACAUCUCUGAGGCCUUAGUAAGAGAAUGGGUAAUAAGGAAGCUCAUCGGAAGCAGCGAUUACCUCUGGGUAGGAGACCUUUGCCUCCACUCACCCAUUUGUGUGAUGUCCUUAUUCAAGGAUUCUGGACCCGUACUGAAUAAAGAUAACAGAGUGGGUAUUUGGGUUCUAAGAUAAUUUUUUAAAUUUAUAUACCAUGGAGCAGAUAGUUCUAGAAUCUAAUAUUAAGUUUGGUGUCUCAAAUCUAAAAGAUACAUAGAGACCCUAGAAAGAGCUCAAAGGAAUACCUUAAAGAGAAAUUUAGAGUUUUUGAGUAAAGAUUCAAGAAGAAAGACUCUAAAAAGG
Molecule: long non-coding RNA, 1076 nt
Filed under: Vulpes vulpes (red fox)
Lineage: Eukaryota; Metazoa; Chordata; Mammalia; Carnivora; Canidae
Description: lncRNA (ENSVVUG00000006116.1)
Source: RNAcentral